GACCCUGUUGAGCUUGACUCUAGUUUGACAUUGUGAAAAGACAUAUGGGGUGUAGAAUAGGUGGGAGCUCCGGCGCCAGUGAAAUACCACUACCUUUAUCGUUUUUUUACUUAUUCAAUGAAGCGGAACUGGGCUUCACCGCCCAUCUUCUGGCGUUAAGGUCCUUCGCGGGCCGAUCCGGGUUGAAGACAUUGUCAGGUGGGGAGUUUGGCUGGGACGG
This 220-nucleotide ribosomal RNA is filed under the name Prasinoderma coloniale. Its description in RNAcentral is "partial Eukaryotic large subunit ribosomal RNA". It matches the Rfam family "Eukaryotic large subunit ribosomal RNA", at positions 2409 to 2633 of the family's 3401-position model. The record is from RNAcentral. Lineage: Eukaryota; Viridiplantae; Prasinodermophyta; Prasinodermophyceae; Prasinodermales; Prasinodermaceae.